GAACGAGAAAGCGGGGGCAACUCCGUGAGUAAAGUGGCGUACGGGUGAGUAACACGUAGCUAACCUACCCUCGAGUGAGGAAUAACCUGGGGAAACUCGGGCUAAUACCCCAUAACAUCCCGAGCAAUCGGGAGCAAAGGUCCGCAAGGGCCGCUUGAGGAGGGGGCUGCGGCCGAUUAGCUAGUUGGUGAGGUAACGGCCCACCAAGGCGAUGAUCGGUAGCCGGCCUGAGAGGGCGCACGGCCACACUGGCACUGAAACACGGGCCAGACUCCUACGGGAGGCAGCAGUGGGGAAUUUUGCACAAUGCCCGAAAGGGUGAUGCAGCAACGCCGCGUGAGGGAUGAAGGUCCUCGGAUCGUAAACCUCUUUCGACCGGGAAAAAUGGGCGGGUGUAGAGCCCGCUCUGAUGGUACCGGUGGAAGAAGCCCCGGCUAACUACGUG
This 445-nucleotide ribosomal RNA is filed under the name uncultured bacterium. Its description in RNAcentral is "bacterial SSU rRNA". It matches the Rfam family "Bacterial small subunit ribosomal RNA", at positions 64 to 507 of the family's 1533-position model. The record is from RNAcentral.